Molecule: long non-coding RNA, 3589 nt
Filed under: Eucalyptus grandis
Lineage: Eukaryota; Viridiplantae; Streptophyta; Magnoliopsida; Myrtales; Myrtaceae
Description: long non-coding RNA (EGRA_LNC000712)
Source: RNAcentral
CGGUACAGAAGGAGCGACAUGGGAGACUGAGGAGUCAAUGAGAGAGUUGUACCCCCACCUUUUUGAUCAAGUCUUGUAAGGUUUAAAUUUCGAGGACGAAAUUUUUAUAAGAGGGGAAGAGUUGUGACAUCCAGAAUUUUCAGUAUUGUUUUCUAUUAAAUUAAUCGGGCAUUUCAUUGACGUGUUUAUAAGGUUGUUCUCAGAGCUGAUCACUCUCGAGAUAACUAGACUAGCUGGGUAAGCCAUUAAAGAAUAUUAAGGCAAUAGACUUGAGAAUUCGACCAGGAAGCGGCUUCUCGACCGUGUUCAUCUUUAGAGGUCAUUACUGCACAGUAAAGAUCGAAUUGAGAUCAGAGAUAGGUCGGUUCGACUGAGAUGUGUGGCCGAUCGUGGGUGACUCCACUAAAUUGGAAAAUUCUCGUCGACCGGCACUAAUUUGAUUUUCUGUCGUUUUGGUACCCUGUGUUAGUAGUCGAGCCCUCGAGAUUUUCACGACAAUUGAGAGUCGCCAAUGUGUCGAGUGGGUUCACUGUGGCUCGAAGAAAAUCGACCACGAGUCAAUUGCCCUAAAAAGUUCUGAAAACUACCCGGUAGUCUAGGUCACACUAAAAGCACGCCGGAGUGAAAUUAACCGUCGAUUUGAGUCAGAUUUCAGAAAUCGAAAGUUCAGUGAUGUCACAAGCUAUUUUAAGAACGUCGACUCAGUCUCAGAAGAUUUUCGGAGAUUCGGGAAAUUUUACGGAAAUUGGAUUCGGACGUCGUGGAAGUUUGGCCGAAGUUCAGAUUGGCUAAAUUAAUGGGAAAUUGGACUUUCAGAUUGAGCCGUUGUGUGUCAGGGAUUUAUAGAAAAUCAUUUGGGAUUUUUCUACGUCGAAAUUGGACCUCAAUUUGGGAGUUUAUUGGAGAAGUUGAAGUCAAAUGGUGAAAUUCGUAUCAUCCCCUUCCCCUAGCCCAAAAUUGACCAAUUGAGAAGUUGUGAGAGUUGUUGGUGUGGCCAAAUGAAGGCCAAGGUUUAAUACUUGGCCUAGAUUGAUUGUUGAAGAUAUUUCUUGUGGAAAAUUGACAAGGAUGGCCCACCCUCUCUCUUAUCUCCUUCCUCGCGCACGGCUCCUCUUCAUUUGUUUCUCUGCGGUCUCAGCUUCUGCUUCAUUUUCUUUCGGUCAAAGUCCAGCCCAGCAAAGCCUCCUCCGUGUUUGUGUCUUCAUCAACCCACGAUCUGGGUCAAUUUCCCCACCGUGUGAAGUCCUUGGUUGACCUCUUGAAGCCUCGAUCCCACCGAGCUGGUCGGCCACUCACGCCAGCGAAGACCCCUGCAGCAGCUCCACCGAAAUUCUUUUUCUUCCGCUUCGUUGAAGAUUGAUCGUCCACGAAGCUGCUCCAAGCAUCCACGCGGCCAGCGCACGCCAGUCAACUCCAAGCCUUCUUCUCUUCAAUUUGUUGACCAAGCUGCCGCCAAGUUGAGCCAGCGAAGCGACGCUGAACGAAGCAACUCGCAGCCAGCUCGCCACCUCAACUGGUCUUCAUUCAGCGAGACCCACCGAGCGUCCUUCACUCUGCCAGCACACCAGUCAACACGGCAGAACGUUGUUGACUCCCCGGAGCCCACAACCCACCGAGAACUCAGCAUCCACGAAGCCACGCCCACGCCCUCAGCUCUCUGCCACUCGCCCGCUCAGCCACUCGUCCACGUAAAUUAAGCAGCGAUUAAAGCUGCUUCCCAUCCCCACGGACGUUCAUCGCCAGCUUGCACGAAGCCAGUCGCAAGCUCAGCCUUCAGCCCAGCAAAAUUCGGUCCAAUUGAGGGCCAUUUCAAGCCCAGCGAAGCCAGCAAUCUCGGCCCAAAUUUUCAGUCUUCAAGCCCAGCGAAUUUUUGUCUAGCUGGGCCCAAUCACCCAGCAGCUAAGCCACUUGAAGCCCGGCCCAGUUCAGUUUGUUUCAAGUCCAUCUUCAGCCCAAGUCCAGCCCGCGAAGAGGCCCAAUCGCAGCAAGCCCAAGCCCAAGAGCGAGCCCAGUGCAGUGCAAGAACAAAUCUCAGUUGGGCUGAGAUUUGUUGGGCCAAGCCUAAGGCCCGGUCCAAGUUCGCCGGUGUCGUCGAAAGUCCUAUUUCGGCCGCCGUCGCGUCGCCGUUGCGGUGAUUCGGUCUCCGCUUUUGCCAAGUGAGUUUUACUCACUAAUGCUUUAUUAGUUGGCUAAUUAUGCUUAAGGUUGGUUAGAUUUAAUUAAGUGCAAUUAGGUGGUUAGAUUAGGUUAGAACAAUUAGUUUAGUGACUUAAUGAUGCAUGUUAGGUGGUUAGACCUAGCUAUUAGCAAGUAGAAAUGUUUGGUUAUUUAUUGAAUGCAUCUCGGGAUUUUUCCCGACCCGUUUCGGGCUCCAAUCAGGCAAUAUGGGCCUAAAUUGGAUUUUUAAUGUUUAUUUAUUUAUUUUCGAAAUUUAUUUAUUUAAUUAAUUAUUUUUCCGGAAAUUCAACCGGGAUGGCCGGUGACCGGAAUUUCGUGCCGAUUGUCGUGGUGCAGACCGUUUAUUUAUUUGAGCUCUACGUUGUGUGGAAUUGAAUUUAUUGUGGAAUUUUAAGAAUUGCCCUAAAUUGUUUGUUAUUGAAUAUUUGAUUGGUUGUUGGCCGAAUAUGGGUAUAUAGCGCCAGUACGUUGAUGGGCUAUAUAGUAGGGAGAAUGGUGAGACCAAUCAGGUACGAUAUUAUUGGACAUACGUGGUUCGGUGAUUGGAAGUAUCACUGGCGAAAACGGCGCCUUAAAGAACGCACGUAAAUGACUUAUAGACACACGUGGUUCGGUGGUUAUGGGAAUAUCACUGGUGAAAACGGCGCCUUAAAGAACGCACGAUGUUGUCUAUAGCCGAUGUCACCUUGGCGAAAACGGCGCCCUUGAAAGGACACGUGGUUCGGUGAUCAAGGUUAUCACUGGUGAAAACGGCGCCUUAAAGAACGCACGGUGUCGGUGAUCGGUAUGUCAUUGGCGAAAACGACGCCCGAGAAACACAUGUGAUUUGGUGAAUGAGUACACCACUGAGAAAGCGUGGUAUGAGUGGGAAUGACCUAGAAAGGGUCUGACUGACAUGUAAUCGACUUAGUUGAUUGAUCAAUGCUUGAUCGGAUGUCGUGAAUUGUUUGAAUACUUGUGUUUAACCUUGAAUUGCAGGUUGGAACUGAGGCCAAGGUAAGUCCUCUGACUCGUGUUGUGCUUAGGCAACCGGAUGGCGUAUUAGUUUAUUAAUCGAGUCUUAGUGGGUAGGACUCGCUGAGACGUGGUCUCAUUGGUUAUUGAAUAACCAUUUCAGGACCCUGAGGAAAAGCUGAGGAGGGAGAACCUGAAGGGGAGAAAGACUUAAGAAGAAGAAGAAGAUCCAGAGAGGGAUCUUGAUUAUAACCCAGAUGUGGAUUGGGAUCCCAUCCUUUUUGUGAACCCUGUUUUAGUGUAGAUAGGUGUGAGACUUUUAUGCUGUAAAUAGUAUUGUAAAUAUACUAUGAGUGGUGAUGUUAGAGAAAGUGUGGUUGUGAAUUUCAAUAUGAAAAAUAUGGCCUGCUUUCCUAUCCCAUUGUUUUAUUGUCUGGGGAUUUAUAACUGCUUCCGC